Molecule: long non-coding RNA, 294 nt
Filed under: Nicotiana benthamiana
Lineage: Eukaryota; Viridiplantae; Streptophyta; Magnoliopsida; Solanales; Solanaceae
Description: long non-coding RNA (NBEN_LNC035458)
Source: RNAcentral
GUCGCCAUUGAUUCCAAGAUUCAUGAUAUCUUUAAGGGUAGCCUUUCCAUUGAGAUACUGACUCAACAAGUUACAAGUCUGCAUGUAACCACUUUUGCAAUCUGAAGAAAGUUGCAAAUUUGACAUGUUUAUACACUGCUAAAUUAUAUAUUCUACUUAAUUAUACAAUUCUCUCUUUAGCUUGAGGGAAAAUGAUUUAAGUUUUGAAGAGGGAAAUAUAUCUUGAUCAAUGGACAACGGUAGGUAGGUAUAGUUUUACAUACGGAGCUCAGGUUUUUGUUGUGCCAGUAAAAG